RNAcentral lists this ribosomal RNA (433 nucleotides) under uncultured bacterium. RNAcentral's name for it is "partial 16S ribosomal RNA". It matches the Rfam family "Bacterial small subunit ribosomal RNA", at positions 29 to 507 of the family's 1533-position model. The record is from RNAcentral.
AACGAACGCUGGCGGCAUGCCUAACACAUGCAAGUCGAACGAGACCUUCGGGUCUAGUGGCGCACGGGUGCGUAACGCGUGGGAACCUGCCCUUAGGUUCGGAAUAACUCCCCGACAGGGGUGCUAAUACCGGAUAAUGUCUUCGGACCAAAGAUUUAUCGCCUUUGGAUGGGCCCGCGUUGGUUUAGCUAGUUGGUAGGGUAAAAGCCUACCAAGGCGACGAUCCAUAGCUGGUCUGAGAGGAUGAUCAGCCACACUGGGACUGAGACACGGCCCAGACUCCUACGGGAGGCAGCAGUGGGGAAUAUUGGACAAUGGGCGAAAGCCUGAUCCAGCAAUGCCGCGUGAGUGAUGAAGGCCUUAGGGUUGUAAAGCUCUUUUACCCGGGAUGAUAAUGACAGUACCGGGAGAAUAAGCUCCGGCUAACUCCGUG